Molecule: ribosomal RNA, 497 nt
Filed under: uncultured bacterium
Lineage: Bacteria
Description: partial 16S ribosomal RNA
Rfam family: Bacterial small subunit ribosomal RNA
Source: RNAcentral
GAUGAACGCUGGCGGCGUGCCUAAUACAUGCAAGUCGAGCGAACGGACGAGAAGCUUGCUUCUCUGAUUUUAGCGGCGGACGGGGGAGUAACACGUGUAGAACCUACCUAUAAGACUGGGAUAACUUCGGGAAACCGGAGCUAAUAACGGAUAAUGUUUUGAACCUCAUGGUUCAAAAGUUAAAGACGGUCUUGCUGUCACUUAUAGAUGGAUCCGCGCUGCAUUAGCUAGUUGGUAAGGUAACGGCCUACCAAGGCAACGAUGCAUAGCCGACCUGAGAGGGUGAUCGGCCACACUGGAACUGAGACACGGUCCAGACUCCUACGGGAGGCAGCAGUAGGGAAUAUUCCGCAAUGGGCGAAAGCCUGACGGAGCAACGCCGCGUGAGUGAUGAAGGUCUUCGGAUCGUAAAACUCUGUUAUUAGGGAAGAAAAUCUGUCUAAGUAACUGUGCACAUCUUGACGGUACCUAAUCAGAAAGCCCCGGCUAACUACGUG